Molecule: ribosomal RNA, 700 nt
Filed under: uncultured Alphaproteobacteria bacterium
Lineage: Bacteria; Pseudomonadati; Pseudomonadota; Alphaproteobacteria
Description: bacterial SSU rRNA
Rfam family: Bacterial small subunit ribosomal RNA
Source: RNAcentral
UGCAAGUCGCACGCCCAGCAAUGGGAGUGGCGGACGGGUGAGUAACGCGUAGGAAUGUGUCCAGAGGUGGGGGACAACCCCGGGAAACUGGGGCUAAUACCGCAUAUGACCUGAGGGUCAAAGCAGUAAUGCGCCUUUGGAGCAGCCUGCGUCCGAUUAGGUAGUUGGUGGGGUAAUGGCCUACCAAGCCUGCGAUCGGUAGCUGGUCUGAGAGGACGAUCAGCCACACUGGGACCGAGACACGGCCCAGACUCCUACGGGAGGCAGCAGUGGGGAAUAUUGGACAAUGGGGGCAACCCUGAUCCAGCAAUGCCGCGUGUGUGAAGAAGGUCUUCGGAUCGUAAAGCACUUUCGGCGGGGACGAUGAUGACGGUACCCGCAGAAGAAGCCCCGGCUAACUUCGUGCCAGCAGCCGCGGUAAUACGAAGGGGGCUAGCGUUGCUCGGAAUUACUGGGCGUAAAGGGCGCGUAGGCGGCUUGGCCAGUCAGGCGUGAAAUUCCUGGGCUUAACCUGGGGACUGCGCUUGAUACUGCCAGGCUUGAGGCCGAGAGAGGGUGGUGGAAUUCCCAGUGUAGAGGUGAAAUUCGUAGAUAUUGGGAAGAACACCGGUGGCGAAGGCGACCACCUGGCUCGGUACUGACGCUGAGGCGCGACAGCGUGGGGAGCAAACAGGAUUAGAUGCCCUGGUAGUCCACGCCG